This is a long non-coding RNA of Neofelis nebulosa (Clouded leopard), 848 nucleotides long. RefSeq lists it as uncharacterized. Lineage: Eukaryota; Metazoa; Chordata; Mammalia; Carnivora; Felidae. The record is from RefSeq and is a predicted model, not a curated record. The transcript has 2 exons.
CCGUGGCUCUGACAACCUUUCUGUUUCUUGGAGUCCUCAGGGUAACGGCAUAGACAGGCUGGCCUUUGCUAGGGCCAACUUUGGAGCAGCCUCUAUGGGAAGCCUUUUGAGCCAAAAUAGAUUUCCCUCCAUUAGCAACAUGCCCCCAUAACAGAGAGGAGGCGACCCGCCAGCCUCCGGAGCAGAGCAGGAGGCCCCUGGAUUGAGACAUCAAUAUCUGGCUUUUAGUGGCACAAAGGGAUAAAGGAAUGUGGAUUCAGAGCGGGCUGGGAUGCUUGGCAAUUCUAAUUCGAUUCCAGACUGCAAAUCGACACAAAGCUGUUGCAACUUUUGUUGAAGAGAAGGCUGAGUGAGCACGUGGUGUUGGGAAAUUGUGUUUUCUUCUUCGAGUUCUUCUGUUUCCGAAUAUCUAAUCCUACUGUUCUCUUCUUUGGUGAAGGUCUCUUUAGUAUAAAGAGUCUCUUUCCUGAAAUUGCUUGGGGCAGCACAGAAGCUGGAUUCAGAAACCACACAAGUUGGGGAUGCAGGCUUCCGCCAAGCCUGAUGCAGGGAAAGACUGCCAUCUUGUGGUCAUCUUGGAACACAGCACCUCGGUUCCGGGCGAAGCUGCCGAGAGCCAGGACUUGAGAAAUGAGCCUCGGAGCUGCAUUUCUGCAGGACAGUGAGGAUGCCUUUUAAAAACACCCAGGAAAUAGUUGAGUGCCCUCCAAGAUAGGUUUCAGUGAAUCUUCAUGUAUGCUGUCAUUCCCUGAGCCAGACACUGCAGGCCCACAACACCUGCUGCGUGAAAAUGGGGUAGAAAUGUGGAGAAAACAUAAUCCCCCAGUGAAAAUAAAGAAACAAACACA